AACGCACCUUGCGCUCCUUGGUAUUCCGAGGAGCAUGCCUGUUUGAGUGUCUUGAAAUCAUCAACCUCUCGCCCUCGCGCUUUCGGUGCGAUGGGUGGGGUUGGACCUGGGGCUGUGCCGCUUGCGUAAGGUGGCUCCCCCGAAAUGGAUCGGUUGGGCCUGUGGGUCGAACUCGACUGGGCGUUGUACCAUCCUCGCUCCACCGAGACGUUCCCCGAUGACUUGAGCCUCGACCACGACCUGCCUCUGGAGCGGCGGUCAAACCCUUUUCUUGACUCUGACCUCAAAUCAGGUAGGACUACCCGCUGAACUUAA
RNAcentral lists this unclassified non-coding RNA (315 nucleotides) under uncultured fungus. RNAcentral's name for it is "partial contains 5.8S ribosomal RNA, internal transcribed spacer 2, and large subunit ribosomal RNA". The stretch from base 1 to 52 matches the Rfam family "5.8S ribosomal RNA", at positions 103 to 154 of the family's 154-position model. Lineage: Eukaryota; Fungi. The record is from RNAcentral.